UACGGAGGAUGCGAGCGUUAUCCGGAUUUAUUGGGUUUAAAGGGUGCGUAGGCGGUCCGUUAAGUCAGCGGUAAAAUUGCGGGGCCCAACCCCGUCGAGCCGUUGAAACUGUCAGACUUGAGUUGGCGAGAAGUACGCGGAAUGCGCGGUGUAGCGGUGAAAUGCAUAGAUAUCGCGCAGAACUCCGAUUGCGAAGGCAGCGUACCGGCGCCACACUGACGCUGAGGCACGAAAGCGUGGGGAUCGAACAGG
This 252-nucleotide ribosomal RNA is filed under the name uncultured bacterium. Its description in RNAcentral is "partial 16S ribosomal RNA". It matches the Rfam family "Bacterial small subunit ribosomal RNA", at positions 524 to 776 of the family's 1533-position model. The record is from RNAcentral.